RNAcentral lists this ribosomal RNA (1194 nucleotides) under Amathillopsis charlottae. RNAcentral's name for it is "partial 28S ribosomal RNA". It matches the Rfam family "Eukaryotic large subunit ribosomal RNA", at positions 104 to 843 of the family's 3401-position model. The record is from RNAcentral. Lineage: Eukaryota; Metazoa; Arthropoda; Malacostraca; Amphipoda; Amathillopsidae.
GAAGCCCAGCGCAUAACCUCYCGGUCUACCAAGGCUGCGGCGGAAUGUUGCGUUAAGGGAAAGGUCGUUUCAAAGCCCUGCACAGCGUGUUCCUAAAUACGUCUUGAAUAUUCACUGUCUUCCUAACGGAGGCUACGGUUCCACAGAGGGUGACAGACCCGUGUGGCCACGUGGGUAUGUGCAUGGGUUCGGCUUUUUUUCCCUGAGAGUCGCGUUGCUUGAGCAUGCAGCGCUAAGCAGGUCGUAAACUCGACCUAAGGCUAAAUAUCUCCACAGAACCGAUAGUAAACAAGUACCGUGAGGGAAAGUUGAAAAGCACUCUGAAGAGAGAGUCAAAAGACCGUGAAACCGUUUAGAGUAUAAGCCAAUGGUUCUUCGGAAGGCUGGGAGCACCGCCUUCCCUUGUGGUGAUACCGGUUCGUGUGUGAUAAAUGAAAGGUGGAUGUGGGACGCAGUGGCAUUGAGUUGAUAAACACCCCASAAWGAUCUUGCGGGCCUCUGACAGUGGUAACAGGGAAGGUUCUAAUGAGGAUCCCGACCCGAGGCUGGGCUUUUGCAAGCAUCCAUUUUUUAGUCACACAAAACGAGUGCCUUAAGACAGCCCGUCACAACUCUUUAUGAGGUCACCCACACGACAUGACAUGGUUGUUAUCGUGGCGAGACUCUGGCAGUUACGACGCGUUGUCAGGGCCGUCCGAUAACGUUCAUGUAUAUCCAACGUGUGUUUGGUACGAUCCUCUGUGAAGGUUGCUUUUCUGACCAUCCCGAAACGUGAAUUUUGGUCUUAGCACGUAGGGACCUACAAUCGUGACCGGCGGACUGUCUGUAGGGACCCUACGUUCGUGGCGGAUGAUUGACGACUCAUUCCGGAACCAUCGGUCACGUCUCGAAACACGGGCCAAGGAGCAUAGCAUGUGCGCAAGUCUAAGGGUCUCACAAAACCCGGUGGCGAAGUGAAAGCGAAUGGUGUGUCUGUUGUCAGUUUUCGGAUUGAUGGCAGGCAGCUUAGUGAUGAGCGUAAUUCCUACGUGGAUGAAUGCGUCUCUAGCUUAUACCGGGCUGAUCCGACGCAAUCAAGACGAAUGUCGAUGCGACGGCGCAAGCCCCAGGCUCUCAACAUAACAUGUUGCGUGUUUGGGAGCACUGAGUAGCGUGUAUGCUAUAACCCGAAAGAUAGUGAACUAUGCCUGGCGA